AACCAUAGAAACCUGCGGAGUACCUGCGGAAGGAUCAUUGAAGUGUGUAAGGGGGUGGGUGAGGGGGAGAGGAGGAAGAGAGAAGAAAUUUUUCUUUCAGGGAUAUUCUCUUAGCCCACCAAUAAACAUUUGUGAAGAGUUGUGAUUGGUGGGGGAAGGGGGGGAAGAGUGAUGGUGGAAAGAGUUUUCAUUCACACACACCAAUCAUGAUAACGAAACAUUAAAAUGUAAAGAUAAAAU
This 240-nucleotide unclassified non-coding RNA is filed under the name soil metagenome. Its description in RNAcentral is "partial contains 5.8S ribosomal RNA, internal transcribed spacer 2, and large subunit ribosomal RNA". The record is from RNAcentral.